RNAcentral lists this ribosomal RNA (486 nucleotides) under uncultured bacterium. RNAcentral's name for it is "partial 16S ribosomal RNA". It matches the Rfam family "Bacterial small subunit ribosomal RNA", at positions 28 to 507 of the family's 1533-position model. The record is from RNAcentral.
GACGAACGCUGGCGGCGUGCUUAACACAUGCAAGUCGAACGGAAAGGCCUCUUUCGGGGGGUACUCGAGUGGCGAACGGGUGAGUAACACGUGAGUAACCUGCCCUUGACUUUGGGAUAACUUCAGGAAACUGGGGCUAAUACCGGAUAGGAGCUCCUGCUGCAUGGUGGGGGUUGGAAAGUUUCGGCGGUUGGGGAUGGACUCGCGGCUUAUCAGCUUGUUGGUGGGGUAGUGGCUUACCAAGGCUUUGAUGGGUAGCCGACCUGAGAGGGUGACCGGCCACAGUGGAGGUGAGCGGCGGUCCUGACUCCUACGGGAGGCAGAAGUAGGGAAUCGACGGCAAUGGGCGGAAGCCUGACGGAGCAGUGGCGCGCGAGUGAUGAAGGUCUGCGGAUCGUAAGACUCUGUUAGUAGGGAAGAACAUAUGUGUAAGUAACUGAGCACAGCUUGACGGUACCUAAUCAGAAAGCAACGGCUAACUACGUG